RNAcentral lists this ribosomal RNA (253 nucleotides) under uncultured bacterium. RNAcentral describes it as "partial 16S ribosomal RNA". It matches the Rfam family "Bacterial small subunit ribosomal RNA", at positions 524 to 776 of the family's 1533-position model. The record is from RNAcentral.
UACAGAGGUCUCGAGCGUUGUUCGGAUUCAUUGGGCGUAAAGGGUGCGUAGGUGGCACUGUAAGUCGGGUGUGAAAUCCUGAGGCUUAACCUCGGAACUGCAUUCGAUACUGCGGUGCUUGAGGACUGGAGAGGAGACUGGAAUUCAUGGUGUAGCAGUGAAAUGCGUAGAGAUCAUGAGGAAGACCAGUGGCGAAGGCGGGUCUCUGGACAGUUCCUGACGCUGAGGCACGAAGGUCAGGGGAGCAAACGGG